Molecule: ribosomal RNA, 417 nt
Filed under: uncultured Lactobacillus sp.
Lineage: Bacteria; Bacillati; Bacillota; Bacilli; Lactobacillales; Lactobacillaceae
Description: bacterial SSU rRNA
Rfam family: Bacterial small subunit ribosomal RNA
Source: RNAcentral
UAGUCUGGGAUACCACUUGGAAACAGGUGCUAAUACCGGAUAAGAAAGCAGAUCGCAUGAUCAGCUUUUAAAAAGGCGGCGUAAGCUGUCGCUAUGGGAUGGCCCCGCGGUGCAUUAGCUAGUUGGUAAGGUAAAGGCUUACCAAGGGCGAUGAUGCAUAGCCGAGUUGAGAGACUGAUCGGGCCACAUUGGGGACUGAGACACGGGCCCAAACUCCUACGGGGGGAGGGGCAGCAGUAGGGGAAUCUUCCACAAUGGACGCAAGUCUGAUGGAGCAACGCCGCGUGAGUGAAGAAGGUUUUCGGAUCGUAAAGCUCUGUUGUUGGUGAAGAAGGAUAGAGGUAGUAACUGGCCUUUAUUUGACGGUAAUCAACCAGAAAGUCACGGCUAAACUACGUGCCAGCAGCCCGCAGUAAU